RNAcentral lists this ribosomal RNA (480 nucleotides) under Dawkinsia filamentosa (blackspot barb). RNAcentral describes it as "partial large subunit ribosomal RNA". It matches the Rfam family "Bacterial large subunit ribosomal RNA", at positions 1934 to 2555 of the family's 2925-position model. Lineage: Eukaryota; Metazoa; Chordata; Actinopteri; Cypriniformes; Cyprinidae. The record is from RNAcentral.
CGGUAUUUUGACCGUGCUAAGGUAGCGCAAUCACUUGUCUUUUAAAUAAAGACCCGUAUGAAUGGUUAAACGAGGGCUUAACUGUCUCCCAUUUCCAGUCAGUGAAAUUGAUCUACCCGUGCAGAAGCGGGUAUAAAUAUACAAGACGAGAAGACCCUUUGGAGCUUAAGGUACAAAACUCAACCACGUCAAUCAACUCAAUAAAAAGCAACUUUUUACUAAACCUUAUGACAAAUGAGACUAUACCUUCGGUUGGGGCGACCAAGGAGGAAAAGAAAGCCUCCAAGUGGACUGGGUCAACACCCUAAAACUAAGAGAGACAUCUCUAAGCCACAGAACAUCUGACCAUAAAUGAUCCGGUCAAUUAAGACCGAUCAACGAACCAAGUUACCCUAGGGAUAACAGCGCAAUCCCCUCCCAGAGUCCAUAUCGACGAGGGGGUUUACGACCUCGAUGUUGGAUCAGGACGUCCUAAUGGUG